CGGGAGGCAGCAGUGGGGAAUAUUGCACAAUGGGCGCAAGCCUGAUGCAGCGACGCCGCGUGAGGGAUGGAGGCCUUCGGGUUGUAAACCUCUUUUAUCGGGGAGCAAGCGAGAGUGAGUUUACCCGUUGAAUAAGCACCGGCUAAUUACGUGCCAGCAGCCGCGGUAAUACGUAGGGUGCAAGCGUUAUCCGGAAUUAUUGGGCGUAAAGGGCUCGUAGGCGGUUCGUCGCGUCCGGUGUGAAAGUCCAUCGCUUACCGGUGGAUCCGCGCCGGGUACGGGCGGGCUUGAGUGCGGUAGGGGAGACUGGAAUUCCCGGUGUAACGGUGGAAUGUGUAGAUAUCGGGAAGAACACCAAUGGCGACGGCAGGUCUCUGGGCCGUUACUGACGCUGAGGAGCGUGAGCGUGGGGAGCGCCCAAAAGGAGCUUCCCUNNUUUCCCUCNCCNUCCNCGCCCCUUUUAGGGGUGGGGCCCGUUCCACGGGUUCCGUGUCGGAGCUAACGCGUUAAGCAUCCCCCCCGGGGAGUACGGCCGCAAGGCUAAAACUCAAAGAAAUUGACGGGGGCCCGCACAAGCGGCGGAGCAUGCGGAUUAAUUCGAUGCAACGCGAAGAACCUUACCUGGGCUUGACAUGUUCCCGACGGUCGUAGAGAUACGGCUUCCCUUCGGGGCGGGUUCACAGGUGGUGCAUGGUCGUCGUCAGCUCGUGUCGUGAGAUGUUGGGUUAAGUCCCGCAACGAGCGCAACCCUCGCCCCGCGUUGCCAGCGGAUUAUGCCGGGAACUCACGGGGGACCGCCGGGGUUAACUCGGAGGAAGGUGGGGAUGACGUCAGAUCAUCAUGCCCCUUACGUCCAGGGCUUCACGCAUGCUACAAUGGCCGGUACAACGGGAUGCGACGCGGCGACGCGGAGCGGAUCCCUGAAAACCGGUCUCAGUUCGGAUCGCAGUCUGCAACUCGACUGCGCGAAGGCGGAGUCGCUAGUAAUCGCGAAUCAGCAACGUCGCGGUGAAUGCGUUCCCGGGCC
Molecule: ribosomal RNA, 1027 nt
Filed under: uncultured bacterium
Lineage: Bacteria
Description: bacterial SSU rRNA
Rfam family: Bacterial small subunit ribosomal RNA
Source: RNAcentral